AUUGAACGCUGGCGGCAGGCCUAACACAUGCAAGUCGAGCGGAUGAAGGGAGCUUGCUCCUGGAUUCAGCGGCGGACGGGUGAGUAAUGCCUAGGAAUCUGCCUGGUAGUGGGGGAUAACGUCCGGAAACGGGCGCUAAUACCGCAUACGUCCUGAGGGAGAAAGUGGGGGAUCUUCGGACCUCACGCUAUCAGAUGAGCCUAGGUCGGAUUAGCUAGUUGGUGGGGUAAAGGCCUACCAAGGCGACGAUCCGUAACUGGUCUGAGAGGAUGAUCAGUCACACUGGAACUGAGCCACGGUCCAGACUACUACGGGAGGCAGCAGUGGGGAAUAUUGGACAAUGGGCGAAAGCCUGAUCCAGCCAUGCCGCGUGUGUGAAGAAGGUCUUCGGAUUGUAAAGCACUUUAAGUUGGGAGGAAGGGCAGUAAGUUAAUACCUUGCUGUUUUGACGUUACCAACAGAAUAAGCACCGGCUAACUUCGUG
Molecule: ribosomal RNA, 484 nt
Filed under: uncultured bacterium
Lineage: Bacteria
Description: partial 16S ribosomal RNA
Rfam family: Bacterial small subunit ribosomal RNA
Source: RNAcentral